This is a long non-coding RNA of Eucalyptus grandis, 203 nucleotides long. RefSeq lists it as uncharacterized. Lineage: Eukaryota; Viridiplantae; Streptophyta; Magnoliopsida; Myrtales; Myrtaceae. The transcript is spliced from 3 exons. The record is from RefSeq and is a predicted model, not a curated record.
AGGAUUCUGAGGAGCUGCAAUCUCAUAGGAGAGCUACCUGGUUAUCUAGCAAAAAUGAUAACCUUAAAAAUAUUAGACCUCAGCUUCAACAAACUGAGGGGCGAAAUCCCUCCUUCCUUUAGCAGCCUCUGGGGAGUUGAUUAUAUCUAUCUGACUGGAAACCAAUUGACUGGAGCAGUCCCUGGUUGGAUCCUGCAGAAAGC